CCUACGGGAGGCAGCAGUGGGGGAUAUUGCACAAUGGGGGGAACCCUGAUGCAGCGACGCCGCGUGGGUGAAGAAGCGCCUCGGCGUGUAAAGCCCUGUCAGCAGGGAAGAAAAUGACGGUACCUGAAGAAGAAGCCCCGGCUAACUACGUGCCAGCAGCCGCGGUAAUACGUAGGGGGCAAGCGUUAUCCGGAUUUACUGGGUGUAAAGGGGGCGCAGACGGCGAUGCAAGCCAGGAGUGAAAGCCCGGGGCCCAACCCCGGGACUGCUCUUGGAACUGCGUGGCUGGAGUGCAGUAGAGGCAGGCGGAAUUCCUAGUGUAGCGGUGAAAUGCGUAGAUAUUAGGAGGAACACCAGUGGCGAAGGCGGCCUGCUGGGCUUUUACUGACGCUGAGGCUCGAAAGUGUGGGGAGCAAACAGGAUUAGAUACCCCUGUAGUC
Molecule: ribosomal RNA, 440 nt
Filed under: uncultured bacterium
Lineage: Bacteria
Description: partial 16S ribosomal RNA
Rfam family: Bacterial small subunit ribosomal RNA
Source: RNAcentral